CCUACGGGAGGCAGCAGUGAGGAAUAUUGGUCAAUGGACGAGAGUCUGAACCAGCCAAGUAGCGUGAAGGAUGACGGCCCUAUGGGUUGUAAACUUCUUUUAUAAAGGAAUAAAACGAGGCACGUGAGCAUUUUUGCAUGUACUUGAUGAAUAAGGAUCGGCUAACUCCGGGCCAGCAGCCGCGGUAAUACGGAGGAGCCGAGGGGUAUCCGGCUUUAUUGGGUUUAAAGGGAGCGGAGAGGGGUUGUUAAGUCAGUGGUGAAAGUGUGCGGCGCAACCGUAAAAUUGCAAUUGAUACUGGCAGUCUUGAGUACAGUGGAGGUAGGCGGAAAUCGUGGUGUAGCGGUGAAAUUCUUAGAUAUCACGAAGAACCCCGAGUGCGAAGGCAGCUUACUAAACUGUGACUGACAUUGAUGCUCGAAAGUGUGGGUAUCCAACAGGAAUAGAUACCCGGGUAGUU
RNAcentral lists this ribosomal RNA (460 nucleotides) under uncultured bacterium. RNAcentral's name for it is "partial 16S ribosomal RNA". It matches the Rfam family "Bacterial small subunit ribosomal RNA", at positions 338 to 795 of the family's 1533-position model. The record is from RNAcentral.